Molecule: ribosomal RNA, 253 nt
Filed under: uncultured bacterium
Lineage: Bacteria
Description: partial 16S ribosomal RNA
Rfam family: Bacterial small subunit ribosomal RNA
Source: RNAcentral
UACGUAGGGGGCAAGCGUUAUCCGGAUUUACUGGGUGUAAAGGGAGCGUAGACGGUUAUGCAAGUCAGAAGUGAAAGCCCAAAGCUCAACUUCGGGACUGCUUUUGAAACUGUGUAACUAGGGUGCAGGAGGGGUAAGCGGAAUUCCUAGUGUAGCGGUGAAAUGCGUAGAUAUUAGGAGGAACACCGGCGGCGAAGGCGGCUUACUGGACUGUAACUGACGUUGAGGCUCGAAAGCGUGGGGGGCAAACAGG